GGCAGAGGGUGCAAACGUUGUUCGGAAUUACUGGGCGUAAAGCGCGUGUAGGCGGCCCUGUAAGUCGGGUGUGAAAUCCCACGGCUCAACCGUGGAAGUGCAUUCGAAACUACAGGGCUAGAGUUCUGGAGAGGAAGGUGGAAUGCUUGGUGUAGAGGUGAAAUUCGUAGAUAUCAAGCGGAACACCGGUGGCGAAGGCGGCCUUCUGGACAGUAACUGACGCUGAGACGCGAAAGCGUGGGGAGCAAACAGG
RNAcentral lists this ribosomal RNA (253 nucleotides) under uncultured bacterium. Its description in RNAcentral is "partial 16S ribosomal RNA". It matches the Rfam family "Bacterial small subunit ribosomal RNA", at positions 524 to 776 of the family's 1533-position model. The record is from RNAcentral.